This is a small nucleolar RNA of Mustela erminea (ermine), 214 nucleotides long. RefSeq annotates it as small nucleolar RNA U3. The record is from RefSeq and is a predicted model, not a curated record. The transcript has a single exon. Lineage: Eukaryota; Metazoa; Chordata; Mammalia; Carnivora; Mustelidae.
AAGACCAUAUUUUCAGGGACCAUUUCUACAUUCUGUUACUAGAAAAGUUUCUCUCCAUGUGUAGCAUGCCCAAAACCACAAAGAAGAGAUGCAGUGUCUCUUCCUGAGUGUGAAGCCAGGUCUGGAUGUUGCUUCCCCAGCUUCCCUUUGCCACUGAUGAUUAUUUUUCUCCUCCUCUGGGAGAGUAAAAGGGAAAGGACAUCCUUUGAGAGGC